RNAcentral lists this ribosomal RNA (424 nucleotides) under Verrucomicrobiota bacterium. RNAcentral's name for it is "Verrucomicrobia bacterium partial 16S ribosomal RNA". It matches the Rfam family "Bacterial small subunit ribosomal RNA", at positions 355 to 776 of the family's 1533-position model. Lineage: Bacteria; Pseudomonadati; Verrucomicrobiota. The record is from RNAcentral.
UGAGGAAUAUUGGUCAAUGGGCGAGAGCCUGAACCAGCCAAGUAGCGUGCAGGAUGACGGCCCUAUGGGUUGUAAACUGCUUUUAUAUGGGAAUAAAGUGAGGGACGUGUCCCUUAUUGCAUGUACCAUACGAAUAAGGACCGGCUAAUUCCGUGCCAGCAGCCGCAGUAAUACGGAAGGUCCAGGCGUUAUCCGGAUUUAUUGGGUUUAAAGGGAGCGUAGGCUGUUUGUUAAGCGUGUUGUGAAAUGUAGGAGCUCAACUUUUAGAUUGCAGCGCGAACUGGCAGACUUGAGUGCGCACAACGUAGGCGGAAUUCAUGGUGUAGCGGUGAAAUGCUUAGAUAUCAUGACGAACUCCGAUUGCGAAGGCAGCUUACGGGAGCGCAACUGACGCUAAAGCUCGAAGGUGCGGGUAUCGAACAGG